Molecule: ribosomal RNA, 61 nt
Filed under: Diaporthe ampelina
Lineage: Eukaryota; Fungi; Ascomycota; Sordariomycetes; Diaporthales; Diaporthaceae
Also listed under: 4 other names
Description: partial 28S ribosomal RNA
Rfam family: Eukaryotic large subunit ribosomal RNA
Source: RNAcentral
UUUGACCUCGGAUCAGGUAGGAAUACCCGCUGAACUUAAGCAUAUCAAUAAAGCGGAGGAA